Molecule: ribosomal RNA, 485 nt
Filed under: Streptococcus downei
Lineage: Bacteria; Bacillati; Bacillota; Bacilli; Lactobacillales; Streptococcaceae
Description: bacterial SSU rRNA
Rfam family: Bacterial small subunit ribosomal RNA
Source: RNAcentral
GACGAACGCUGGCGGCGUGCCUAAUACAUGCAAGUGGAACGCAUUGAUAUCACCGGAGCUUGCUCCACCGAUAUAAAUGAGUCGCGAACGGGUGAGUAACGCGUAGGUAACCUGCCUGAUAGCGGGGGAUAACUAUUGGAAACGAUAGCUAAUACCGCAUGAGAGUGUUUAACACAUGUUAGAGACUUAAAAGAUACAAUUGUAUCACUAUCAGAUGGACCUGCGUUGUAUUAGCUAGUUGGUAGGGUAGCGGCCUACCAAGGCAACGAUACAUAGCCGACCUGAGAGGGUGAUCGGCCACACUGGGACUGAGACACGGCCCAGACUCCUACGGGAGGCAGCAGUAGGGAAUCUUCGGCAAUGGACGAAAGUCUGACCGGGCAACGCCGCGUGAGUGAAGAAGGUUUUCGGAUCGUAAAGCUCUGUUGUAGCGGAAGAACGCGUGUAAGAGUGGAAAGUUACACAGGACGUACGUACCAGAAAGG